AGGCAGCCACUUUGCAGUAUAUAUUAGGCAAAGCAGGUGUUGGAAUGCUCGUAUAUUGAAUUUACUUGGGCUUCUCAGACUUUCUGAGAGAUUGAUUUCCUUGAAGCUGGUAUAGUAAGCCCAAAUACAUC
This is a small nucleolar RNA of Tripterygium wilfordii, 131 nucleotides long. RefSeq annotates it as small nucleolar RNA snoR77. NCBI's taxonomy places the organism in Eukaryota, Viridiplantae, Streptophyta, Magnoliopsida, Celastrales, Celastraceae. The record is from RefSeq and is a predicted model, not a curated record. The transcript has a single exon.